CAGUCGCCACGGGAAUACGGAGGAUCCAAGCGUUAUCCGGAAUCAUUGGGUUUAAAGGGUCCGUAGGCGGAUCUGUAAGUCAGUGGUGAAAUCUCACAGCUUAACUGUGAAACUGCCAUUGAUACUGCAGGUCUUGAGUAAAUUUGAAGUGGCUGGAAUAAGUAGUGUAGCGGUGAAAUGCAUAGAUAUUACUUAGAACACCAAUUGCGAAGGCAGGUCACUAAGAUUUAACUGACGCUGAUGGACGAAAGCGUGGGGAGCGAACAGGAUUAGAUACCCCCGUAGUCCCUGUCUCUUAUAA
Molecule: ribosomal RNA, 301 nt
Filed under: uncultured bacterium
Lineage: Bacteria
Description: partial 16S ribosomal RNA
Rfam family: Bacterial small subunit ribosomal RNA
Source: RNAcentral